GAAUAGGAAGAAUGGGUAGGAAGGACCUCAGACUAUCACAUCACUGAGAAAUAUCUGGUCCUGCUAAUAGAGUUUCCAAAGGCUACAUGUUAGAAGAAAUGGCCUAUAGUACUUUUUCCUUUUGUCAUUGGUAGUAGUAUGGUAUCAGUGUGACACUAGUUCCAAAGGCACUCAGUUACCUGUAGAUUGUUCCCUUGAAAAGAGAUGUGGGUGUUAUACAGCUCUGUUCAAGCAGAUUACUUUCCCCAUGAGUGUUAAUGAUUCCUAAGGGGAAUCAUUAGGAGAAACAUGCAACUAAUUACAAACCCUAUUGCUGCAGUUUGUCUUGGGGCUAUAAAUACUAAAUUCCUUUAAUCUUUUUAUCACAAUGAUAGGUCUUGGUUGCUUACCUAGUGGUGGAAACCUAAUUUUCAUUACUGAAGUGUUUGGAGCCUUUGAUUCACACCCUUCUCUUGCUACACAAGAGCUUUACAUUAUAGCUGUGGGAGGAAGAGGCAAGCUGUAUCUGUGGUGAGCAGAAUAAUCAUCCCCCAAAGAUGUCCAUUUCCUAACUCUUGGGACCUGUGAAUAAUGUUGCCUGAAGUGGCAAAAGGGACUUCACAGACUUGGAUGAAGUUGAGGGCUUUGAGAUGGGGAAAUAAGCCUGGAUUUUCAAAUUGGGCCUAAUUCUAAUCUCAUGUGUUUUUAAAAGCAGAAAACCUUUCCUAUCUGUGGUAACUUGUUGGUUCUGGAAUGUUUGAAACUGUCAACAACUGGAUAGUUAUGUAGUUUUUAAGGGUGUCCCUCAGGUGAUACCCAGCAAGAAAGUAGAAUUCUCAGUCCUAUGCUGAGUGGGAUUGUGCUGCUAACUCCUGAAGGACUAGGAAACAGACUCCAUUCUAGAGCCUCCAGAAAGGGAUGCAACUUUAAUUCAGCCCCUAAGGUAUAUCCAGCUUCUCUCCUAUAGAACUGUAAAGUAAUAAAUUAAUGUUACUUGGAGC
Molecule: long non-coding RNA, 980 nt
Filed under: Marmota monax (woodchuck)
Lineage: Eukaryota; Metazoa; Chordata; Mammalia; Rodentia; Sciuridae
Source: RNAcentral